UGAGAGGUGGACUACAAAGGACCAACGUAGCUGUCACCUACGCGGCCUACCACACGAUCCAGCUAGAUAGGGGAUAUCCACAAGUAAUCUAGGUCUAAGCACCACGCUUACACCUAUACUACAACUCUCAGCUAUAGCGUCCUAUAGAUUAAAGUACUCAAAAGAGUUGUGAACCAAAACAUACAUAAUUAGUAAUUGCAUAAUGAAUUAGAAGUAGAUUACCAGAGUAAUCCCAUGAGCGAGCUUGAUUACAGCUUGAUCAUGACGAAGUACAACCGGAGGAAGAACCGACAGGCCGGCCUCUCCUCUAAUCCUCCUUCGCUCUCCAUCUUGCUACUAUCUAGAUCUACUCUAGUUUAGAGAAGAGAGGAGAGCUCUCAUCUCUAAACCCUAGCUUUUGCUCUGUCUAUGAAUAAUGAAUAAUGAUCAAGGGGUGCCUCCUCCAGGGGCCAGGGGGUCUGGUUAUAUAGUCCCCUCAGGUGAACCUGGGCCGUCCGAUCAAACCGACAUUGAUUGAACGGUUAUUCUUGAUCCUUUAGGUCGGUGGAGAUCUCCUGAGAGAAAGAGUCCUGAUUGGGCUCCAAGUCAGGGUGGGCGCCCAGGGCAGGAGGGCGGGCGCCCUGCCUCUGGCCCCGUUCGGCCUCCGCUUCCUUCCCGUGGCUUCUGGAGUCUUCUAGAUGUAAGAUAAUUGCGCGGCACAUUAAUAUCUCUAUGUAAUCCUAACGUGUGGGCCUUUCUUCCGUAUUUCCUGAUAACCCCCUAUAGAAAUAGACAAACACCAAAACUCGUGGAAUUCUGUCAGAUAAAACCCUAAGUCUAGAUGUUGAUUUCAUUUAGAUCAUUUUCUUUGUUUAUUUGCUAAUUAAAUUUGAUACUUAAGGACCGUCAACAAACUCCCCCAAGCUUACCUCUUGCUCGUCCCUGAGCAAGGAUAGACUCAUCAAUGGAUCAGAAGUUGUUGCAAUAUCUUAAAAAUUUGACGGUACACAUGCUUUUAAAUAAGAUCUCAUCUCUGAGUUAGAGUAAACUGUCAAGAACUAAAACUUACUUACUUUACCUUUCACCAUGGGACUUGUAAUCGUCACUUCUGUCUUGAGUAGUUAAAAGAUAGAACAGUCUAGCCAAGUGCCAUGUCUCUUAUUCUUGAUCAGCUGUAGCUUUGGAGUUUUUGCAGAUUUCCAAAUAAAACUCAGAGAUUCCUUGUAUGACUCUCUAAAUCUCUCUUUUGUGGUAUUUCUGGAUCCUUACCAAGGCUGUGAUGGUAUAUGCCUUCUCUCAAGAUAUAUGGUAUUUGUGGUAUAAGGCAUAGCGACAUUGCCUUCUCUCUCACCCUACUCUAAUAAGGCUUUAAUAUCUGGAGCUCAUAGGUGGGAGAUAAAGUAUACAUACUUACAAGACAUUUAUUGUAUAGUCAAACCAUGGAUCCAAAGAAACAAAUCAAUAAGCCAAAUCAAGAUGUGCAUGUGUGGCGAAUGAAUGGUGUAUGGUGAUGAUGGUGAUAACAAUGGUGAAAGUCUAAUUCUACUUUUGCUCUUUUGAGGGGAUACAUACCUUCCUUGCUUUUUGAAACUUUAUGAGGAGAAUGAGAUGCUCUUCUUUUUCUUUCCUCUCAGGUGGGUAUCUUGUACCCCUAAUUCUACUGUCGGACACUUGUCCAUUUUUACCUCUCGUCUCACUUUUUCUUUCUUUCGAGGUUCCGGACACUUGCCCCUUUUUAUUUCCUCGUUUAUUAUUAUUUUUUUCUUUUCUUUUCUUCUCUUUUCUUUUUUUUCUUUUCAGAGCACUCAUCUCUUGAGAUAAUAUAGCAAGUGGUAGUAGCAAGAUAACUUGAGCAUUUAUUUCACAAGGAAAAACAGAAAUAUUUUUGGUUAUUCUCUCCCGGAUUAGGAGUAGAAUAUUUUUGGGUGGUUCUGGAGAUGGAAAUGAGUGGAUAUAUAUGGAUGGUACUUCCGGAGUAGAAGUAGCAUAUAUGAGUGAAUGUGCAAGUGAAAUCUUGAUUUAACCACAUGACAAGCUCCUAAGGGUCUACACAGCUUGACCACACUCAAUGCUCAUAAGCAGUAAAUAGUAAAUGUGUGGCUCAAAGUCUAGCAAGCAUGUAUAUAUAGCUGUGGUAGGAAUUUAAACUUUCAUCAUACAGGAACUCAUCAUGCAAUAUUUUAAAGAUUUUUCAAAGAUAAAAUUCUCCAGAAUUCUAGCAUCUCUAGGAACAGAUAAACAGCAGCUCAACCUUCCCAUAUCAUAUCCGUUAACAACUUAGAUUUCAGAUCAAGUUUUUAUCCCACAAGUUUAGAUCUAGAGCAAGCUUUAAAUUAUAACAGUUAUGUCUAAACUUGAGAGAGAACUUCAAAUGUGCAAAUUAGGCAGAGCAACUAUUCAUCAUAUCCAUGCUAGAGUUUUAUUAUUAAGAUUCAGAUUAGCAUAGCCACUUUUUUUAUUUAUUAAACACACUAAGCAAAAGAUAUAUAUAAGCACAAAAUCUUUAUUUGGUUUUUCAAAGUUUAUGUAUUUUAAUAUUCUAAUAUAAUAUAAGUAUAAAGAGAUGUAGUUAUACUUAGCGAGAUAAAUGGGGGUGCUCUCCCCCAAGCUGAAUUUUGACGUAAUUUUUAUUGAUGUAGCUAGCAGGUGGCAGAGGUGUAUUUGAAAGUCAGCAGCAUUCUGACAGCGAUUAGAAUGUCCUCCGUCUGCUAGUAUUCUUGAUUCUUAAAUUCUGUGGAGCUCAAAUAGAUAACAAAGCUUGUGGAACUAAUUAAGUGUUAGCAUAAAUAUCUAGCCUUCAUCAUGUUGAGCUUCCUCAAUAAAUAUUACUCCCUGUUUUUAUAUUUUUAUUUUAUAAAGCAGAAAAGAAAUAUUUAUUUUAUUUUUAUGCCACCACAGUGAAGGUACUUAUGGGUUUUAUGCCACUCGUAUUCACACAUAGGGCUUAGUAUUUUUUAACAUUUUUAUUUUCUUUUCAAGAUAGCAUGAUUAACUAAUAAUCUAUUUAAGGAAAGUAAAUAAUUAAAGGGAAAAGGAAAUGCAGAAAGGAUAAAUAUGGAUAACUACCGAUCUUACCUUUCGACGAGGGUUCAAUAUUUUAAGUCUUCUUAACAAGACUUCUCACCGUGUUCAUUCUUCAGGUGCGUCAUUUGAUUCAGGUGCGGACCUUGACGUCUGCACCUCUUGAUACGGUGUCACCCAUGUUCUUCAUUUGCCCAGCAGUUCGAAGUGCGGCGUUGGCAGUAACCUGCUCAGAGAGACAAGGCAGAAAUCAAGUGCAUGGGUCCUGUUGGUGGAAAACACCAACAGAACCUAAAGUGUAUUUGUUCUUCUCUAACACUAAGCAUAGUGAGCAAGACAAAGUUGAUGGAUGAAAAGUUCAUGAGUGUAGCACUUAUAACAUUUGUCAGAUCAGAUCGCUCAACCUUAUGAAAAGAUAAUCUAUCUAUGUAUAUGUCUUUUUCUUUAUAUCUCUCAAUGAUUGAAUGUGUAACAUUAUAGCUCAUAUGAUUAGGAGUGUGGGAUCAUGGAGGUAGUAUUAAGAACAAGGAUUAAAGGACUAAACAUGUUGAAUCAGCUGGGUUGGUUAAUCUAGAGUUGUAAAUCAUACAUCUUUGUCUCUUUUAUUUAUAUGAACGCUAGAACCAAGGAGAAGCUUAUAGAAGUGAUAGUCAAGUACCUUAAGGUGUUACCUUACUUGAAGAGUGAUGGUACCAUCUCACCUUGUGGAAGCUUCCCAUUCGUAGUGGUUGUGUAUCUUGUUUAUGUACUUUGUCUUCUUCCAUGGAUCAUCUCUCUAUGAUGAAUGAGCUAUGUCCUUGUGCAAAUUGUUAAACUUCAUGUGUCACUCUCUUUGUCUCUAAUGUGAGUUUAUCUCAGGACUUCCCAAAACGAUAUUGAAAGUUUUUCUACAGGGGUUAGUCCGACAAAAAUAUACCAAUGUCUACACAAGCAGUUUUUAGUUCAAUAACCGAACUAGACUCCAUGUCUAAUCAGAUUAAGGAAGGCUGUUUAACCUAAGCACCAUGCUUAAUUUAGAAGCCAAUAGAAGUAUGUGCAGUACUUCCAAACUAACACUUACUAGUAAAUAGACAAAGGUAACAUGACAGCAUUUAUAGAGAUCUACUCAAGUGGAGAUGAAGUAGUGUGAUUAGUAUUUAACAAAUUGAGCAUGUCUUAAAGGUAGGGACAACCAACAUAGCAACAUGGAAAAGGAUGUUUUUAUGUAAAGUACUCCCCCAAGUUUGAAUUUUGCAGAAUUCAAGUUUGGAUGAAUUUAAUUCAGUGUUGCAUGAUGAUUGGUUGGACAUGCCUUGUACUUGCUUGUCAUUCAUCUGAUCUUCUUGUUCCAAUCCUGGAAAGGUUAGUGACAAGAAUACCCGAAAGAAUAUUUUCACAAUUAUCCUUAUAUGCUCAAUACACAAGGUAAUGUUGUAAAUAAUUAAAACCUCAUGUUACGAUCUGAUCAGUGCUUAUUUUAAGACACUAAGCUUGUCCUUGGGAAACCAUCAAUUUAUGUCGGCGAAGUGGUUUCCCUUCCAACGCUGACCUAUAUCAAGAUCAACUCAAUGAGAUCCACAAUAUUUAUUAUAGACAUAUGCAUCGACAACCGCCCUUUUAAAGUUUUUAUAAAUAGAAAGGAAGAGGGGGUUGGAGAUCUCAAAUGUGGUGAUGUUGGAGAGACCAAUAGAUUGGGAAGAUGUUGCAUAUAAGCAUGGAGUAAACAAAGUGGCUAUGAAAUAAAUUACAUGCUCAUUAAUAUUAUUGCAAGGAUUUGAAUUAUCCCUGCUUGAAGGUCUCUUAUGGAACCAAAAGUCUAAACCAUCAGCAUCUGAAAGAUUUAAGGUCAGAAUUCCUUCCUCCCUUGGAGAAUUUUGGGGUAUUGAUGGUUUAGGAUCGAUAGCUAAAGUUUGGGAUUGAAGUGGUUGUGAUCUAGCUAUCGAAACUUCUUCUUCUUGUCUAGGAACUGGUUCUGUCUCUUUCUCAGGGAUAUAAAAGCUAGGAGACUUUCCGCUCAUUAAAUCAAUCAAAUUCCAAGCUUCACUAGCAGGUAGGUGAUAGAAGGAUCCUCUAGAGGCUGUAUUCAAGGUUUGCUUAUUUUCCCCACUAAGGCCCUCAAAAAAGUGAGUUAGAAGAACUUCUUCUGGAAUAGAAAGCUUUGGGUCAGUGAGAGUAAGGUUAAUAAAGCGGUCCCAUGAUUUGCCAAGAGAUUCUUCUUCCAGUUGUCUAAAAGAAAUAAUCUCACGCCGAAGUUCCGCCACUUUAGAGAUUGGAAAAUAUUUUAAAAGAAAACUAUUAUGUAACUCCUUCCAAUCUCCAUGAACACUCUCUACUUUGAGUUUAUACCAAUGUCUAGCUUUUCCUGUUAAAGAGAACGGAAAGAGCUUCCAUUUAAGGGUCUAAUCAGACAUGCCUUCAAUGCGAAGGAGGUCACAGACUUGAUAAAACUCUCUUAGGUGUGUGUUUGGGUUUUCCUCACCUUCUCCUGAGAAAGGUUGUUUUUGAACAAAUUCUAUGUAUUCGGGGUCUAUCUCAAAACUAGAUGCUAUGAUAGGCUUUGAAGAUUUUGGUGGUUCGAGAUGUGUGCCCGUAGGUCUAUGAAAUUCAUAGAUAGACAUGUUUGAAUUCAUAAUAGACCAGAGAUCAAGGAUUAGAUAAGAAGAAAGAGUAGCAGAGAUAAGGCAAAGGAUAAAAGGAAAAAUAUUUUUUUUUAUUUUUCUUAGAAAAUGAUUAAGCUAGUUCGUAGUCAACUCAGCAACCGUUUCCCAGGCAACGGCGCCAAAAAUGCUUGUUGACACUUGCUAACACCACUUGAAUACUAGGUUGUCAUCCCCAGCAUGGCACUAGAGUUUACUAUGGUAUUUAUACGCACACAGAUAAUCCACAAGUGCACGGAUACCGUUAUAACUUUUACCCGGUUAAAGGUUUUAUCGUAUCCACAGGGAAACGGGAGAACUGAUCUACGCUCUAACUUAACCAAGAUAAGUAAAUAGGUGUAAAUAGGAAAGAUGGUAGAAUCGAAUAAGAACAAUAUUAAAGGUAAGAUAACUGUGAGUGAUAAUAUGGGAAUAGAGAAUAGAGAAAUCUAGUAUAUGGGCGAUGGUAGCAGAAUAGAGAGGAUAACUAUGGUUUCUCUACUUCAAAGGGGUAUGUCUAUGUCUGGGACGAACCACGUGAUAAGAGUACACCACAAAGGAUGCUUAUCCUUAGGCCGAUAAACCCUACCCGUCCUGCUAACGAGAGGUGGACUACAAGGGACCAACGUAACUGUCACCUACGCGGCCUACCACACGAUCCAGCUAGAUAGGGGAUAUCCACAAGUAAUCUAGGUCUAAGCACCACGCUUGCACCUAUAUUACAACUCUCACCUAUAGCGUCCUAUAGAUUAAAGUACUCAAAAGAGUUGUGAACCAGAACAUACAUAAUUAGUAAUUGCAUAAUGAAUUAGAAGU
Molecule: long non-coding RNA, 6431 nt
Filed under: Sorghum bicolor (sorghum)
Lineage: Eukaryota; Viridiplantae; Streptophyta; Magnoliopsida; Poales; Poaceae
Description: long non-coding RNA (SBIC_LNC007019)
Source: RNAcentral